CCCUUAGAUGUUCUGGGCCGCACGCGCGCUACACUGAUGCAUUCAACAAGCCUAGCCUUGACCGAGAGGUCCGGGUAAUCUUUGAAACUGCAUCGUGAUGGGGCUAGAUUAUUGCAAUUAUUAAUCUUCAACGAGGAAUGCCUAGUAAGCGUGAUUCAUCAAAUCGCGUUGAUUACGUCCCUGCCCUUUGUACACACCGCCCGUCGCUCCUACCGAUUGGAUGAUCCGGUGAGCUAUUCGGACCUUCGCUUCGUCGAUUUUCGGCUUUGUGAGGGAAAGUCUCGCGAACCUUAUCAUCUAGAGGAAGGAGAAGUCGUAACA
Molecule: ribosomal RNA, 321 nt
Filed under: uncultured eukaryote
Lineage: Eukaryota
Description: partial 18S ribosomal RNA
Rfam family: Eukaryotic small subunit ribosomal RNA
Source: RNAcentral